UGCCAGCCGCCGCGGUAAUACGGAGGGUGCAAGCGUUAAUCGGAAUUACUGGGCGUAAAGCGCGCGUAGGCGGCCAAGUCAGUCAGAUGUGAAAGCCCCGGGCUCAACCUGGGAAUUGCACCUGAUACUGCUUGGCUAGAGUACAGAAGAGGGUGGUGGAAUUUCCUGUGUAGCGGUGAAAUGCGUAGAUAUAGGAAGGAACAUCAGUGGCGAAGGCGGCCACCUGGUCUGAUACUGACGCUGAGGUGCGAAAGCGUGGGGAGCAAACAGGAUUAGAUA
Molecule: ribosomal RNA, 279 nt
Filed under: uncultured bacterium
Lineage: Bacteria
Description: partial 16S ribosomal RNA
Rfam family: Bacterial small subunit ribosomal RNA
Source: RNAcentral